ACGCUCGACACCUACGUGAGGCAGCAGUGAGGAAUAUUGGUCAAUGGGCGCUAGCCUGAACCAGCCAAGUAGCGUGAAGGAUGAAGGCUCUAUGGGUCGUAAACUUCUUUUAUAUAAGAAUAAAGUGCAGUAUGUAUACUGUUUUGUAUGUAUUAUAUGAAUAAGGAUCGGCUAACUCCGUGCCAGCAGCCGGCGGUAAUCUGAGGCGGGCUGGCAAGGC
Molecule: ribosomal RNA, 220 nt
Filed under: uncultured bacterium
Lineage: Bacteria
Description: partial 16S ribosomal RNA
Rfam family: Bacterial small subunit ribosomal RNA
Source: RNAcentral